GACGAACGCUGGCGGCAUGCUUAACACAUGCAAGUCGUACGGUAAGGCCCUUUCGGGGGUACACGAGUGGCGAACGGGUGAGUAACACGUGGGUAACCUGCCCACAACUUUGGGAUAACGUUAGGAAACUGGUGCAAAUACUGGAUAUGUGCUUCUGCUGCAUGGUUGGGGUUGGAAAGCUUCGGCGGUUGUGGUUGGACUCGCGGCCUAUCAGCUUGUUGAUGGGGUAGUGGCCUACCAAGGCGGCGACGGGUAGCCGGCCUGAGAGGGUGACACCCCACAUUGGGCCUGGGCUACUGCACAGACUCCAACGGAAUGAAGAAAUGGAGCAUAUUGCGCAAUAGGCGUCAGCCUGUUGCAGCAACACGUCGUGGGGGAAGACGGCCUUCUCGUUGAAACCCGCUUUCAACAGGGUCGAAGCAUUUUGUGACGAUACCUGCAGAAGAAGCACCAGCUAACUACGUG
This 465-nucleotide ribosomal RNA is filed under the name uncultured bacterium. RNAcentral's name for it is "partial 16S ribosomal RNA". It matches the Rfam family "Bacterial small subunit ribosomal RNA", at positions 28 to 507 of the family's 1533-position model. The record is from RNAcentral.